Long non-coding RNA from Sinocyclocheilus grahami, 603 nucleotides. RefSeq lists it as uncharacterized. NCBI's taxonomy places the organism in Eukaryota, Metazoa, Chordata, Actinopteri, Cypriniformes, Cyprinidae. The record is from RefSeq and is a predicted model, not a curated record. The transcript has 3 exons.
GGGCACUCCAGCUGGAGAUCGUGACAGGAAUUAAGUAAAAGUGAGAAAAUGAUCAUAGAAUUUUCAUAUUUGGGCGAAUUUCCCUUGAACAAUCAGCACCAAAUAUCCCUCACAGCCUUGUUGUCAUUCAUAAAAAAUGUAUAUUGUGUCUUUCCUGACCAAGGCCUAUGAUUUAACACAAUUUGAUUGUGUCAGGCGAUUCCAUGCUCUGACUCACAUUUUAUUCUGGCAGCAUAUGAACGGAUUUUAACAUUCAAAAAGCCUGAUGGAUCCUAUGGAGCUUGGCUAAACCAUCCCACAAGCACCUGGUUGACUGCGCUGGUGGUGAAAGUGUUGUCUCUUGUGGCUGAAAGACAGAUAGAAACUCUUGAACAGCAAGGAACAACAGAGAAGAUGAUUUCGCAGGAAGACAUCCGCCAUGCAGUCACUUAUCUGAUUAAAACACAGAGCUCCGAUGGGUCCUUUACUGAUGCUAAUCCAGUCUAUCACAGGGAAAUGCAGGGAGGUAUUGGAGGAGUUGAGCAAGAUGCCUCUUUAACAGCUUUCAUCACGAUAGCACUUUGUCGCUCCCUCCCUUUCUUGGACAAAGAAGUAACUGAUGUG